Molecule: small RNA, 651 nt
Filed under: Arabidopsis thaliana (thale cress)
Lineage: Eukaryota; Viridiplantae; Streptophyta; Magnoliopsida; Brassicales; Brassicaceae
Description: ATSL001530
Source: RNAcentral
GAAAAUAUUAAACCGAAAUAUACCGCGGAUCAAUCUCUAGUUAAUAGUUAUAAUUAGCAAAUUCCUUAAUUUCACAUUUUUGUACAAAUACUGCUCUUCAAUAAUAUAAGGAGAGUUAUUUCAUAAUUUUUUGAUUUUUUGACCAAUAAAAAGAAAACUUGUUAAAUUAAUCACAAUAAACACUAAUUCUAAAUCGUAAUUUGGAAAUACAUUAAAAACAUUAUAUAUUUCUUAAAAGGUUAAAGAUAUAAAUACAUACACAUUGAUUUUUUAGGACUCGGAAUCCAAGGAACCAAUGAAGUAUUAUUCAUUUGAGUCACGGGCUUGUUCAUAUGUCUUUAGCAUACUUUUUGAAUCAAUCAAUCUAUGAUAGUCAGGUGAUAAUGUGAAUAGUUGGCUGGUUGAGUCUCCAGUCGGGUGCACUACGACCACUUUAAAUCCAUUCUCUAUGAGAUCUAAAAUCACAUCCGCAAACCCUCCAUCACCCGUCAUCAUCGCUAUAACACUUUUUCCGAUUUUCUCUUCAUAUCAUAUCCUCUUUAUGUUAGAAUAUAUAAAAAAACAAGUAUAAGGUUCGCUGUCCGAAUAAUUUUGAGUCUCAAGAAGGUUGACAAUAAGAAUAACUUGUUUAUCAAUAUUUCUUUUAGUUUA